Molecule: unclassified non-coding RNA, 103 nt
Filed under: fungal sp.
Lineage: Eukaryota; Fungi
Description: partial internal transcribed spacer region
Source: RNAcentral
CCAACAUGGCUUACGAGCCUCCGCCCGGGCAAACGCAACUCGCGCGCGGCGCCGAGCUGCGCGCCGAGCACAACAUCAACCCGCCCACUGAUUGUUCCACAUG